AGCGAACGCUGGCGGCAGGCUUAACACAUGCAAGUCGAACGGGCUUCUUCGGAAGUCAGUGGCAGACGGGUGAGUAACACGUGGGAACGUGCCCUUCGGUUCGGAAUAACUCAGGGAAACUUGAGCUAAUACCGGAUACGCCCUUUUGGGGAAAGGUUGACUGCCGAAGGAUCGGCCCGCGGCUGAUUAGCUUGUUGGUGGGGUAACGGCCUACCAAGGCGACGAUCAGUAGCUGGUCUGAGAGGAUGAUCAGCCACACUGGGACUGAGACACGGCCCAGACUCCUACGGGAGGCAGCAGUGGGGAAUAUUGGACAAUGGGCGCAAGCCUGAUCCAGCCAUGCCGCGUGAGUGAUGAAGGCCUUAGGGUUGUAAAGCUCUUUUGUCCGGGACGAUAAUGACGGUACCGGAAGAAUAAGCCCCGGCUAACUUCGUG
This 435-nucleotide ribosomal RNA is filed under the name uncultured bacterium. Its description in RNAcentral is "partial 16S ribosomal RNA". It matches the Rfam family "Bacterial small subunit ribosomal RNA", at positions 29 to 507 of the family's 1533-position model. The record is from RNAcentral.